Molecule: ribosomal RNA, 497 nt
Filed under: uncultured bacterium
Lineage: Bacteria
Description: partial 16S ribosomal RNA
Rfam family: Bacterial small subunit ribosomal RNA
Source: RNAcentral
GAUGAACGCUGGCGGCGUGCCUAAUACAUGCAAGUCGAGCGAACAGAUGAGGAGCUUGCUCCUCUGACGUUAGCGGCGGACGGGUGAGUAACACGUGGAUAACCCACCUAUAAGACUGGGAUAACUUCGGGACACCGGAGCUAAUACCGGAUAAUAUAUUGAACCGCAUGGUUCAAUAGUGAAAGACGGCUUUGCUGUCUCUUAUAGAUGGAUCCGCGCCGCAUUAGCUAGUUGGUAAGGUAACGGCUUACCAAGGCAACGAUGCGUAGCCGACCUGAGAGAGUGAUCGGCCGCACGGGAACGGAGACACGGUCCAGGCUCCUGCGGGAGGCAGCAGUAGGGAAUCUUCCGCAGUGGGCGAAAGCCUGACGGAGCGACGCCGCGUGAGUGAUGAAGGUCUUCGGAUCGUAAAACUCUGUUAUGAGGGGAGAACAAAUGUGUAAGUAACUAUACACGUCUUGACGGUACCUAAUCAGAAAGCCACGGCUAACUACGUG